RNAcentral lists this ribosomal RNA (660 nucleotides) under uncultured bacterium. Its description in RNAcentral is "bacterial SSU rRNA". It matches the Rfam family "Bacterial small subunit ribosomal RNA", at positions 144 to 803 of the family's 1533-position model. The record is from RNAcentral.
UAGCCUUUCGAAAGAAAGAUUAAUACCCGAUGGCAUAGUUCUUCCGCAUGGUGGAACUAUUAAAGAAUUCCGGUCAUCGAUGGGGAUGCGUUCCAUUAGGUUGUUGGCGGGGUAACGGCCCACCAAGCCUUCGAUGGAUAGGGGUUCUGAGAGGAAGGUCCCCCACAUUGGAACUGAGACACGGUCCAAACUCCUACGGGAGGCAGCAGUGAGGAAUAUUGGUCAAUGGACGAGAGUCUGAACCAGCCAAGUAGCGUGAAGGAUGACUGCCCUAUGGGUUGUAAACUUCUUUUAUACGGGAAUAAAGUGAGGCACGCGUGCCUUUUUGUAUGUACCGUAUGAAUAAGGAUCGGCUAACUCCGUGCCAGCAGCCGCGGUAAUACGGAGGAUCCGAGCGUUAUCCGGAUUUAUUGGGUUUAAAGGGAGCGUAGGCGGACGCUUAAGUCAGUUGUGAAAGUUUGCGGCUCAACCGUAAAAUUGCAGUUGAUACUGGGUGUCUUGAGUACAGUAGAGGCAGGCGGAAUUCGUGGUGUAGCGGUGAAAUGCUUAGAUAUCACGAAGAACUCCGAUUGCGAAGGCAGCUUGCUGGACUGUAACUGACGCUGAUGCUCGAAAGUGUGGGUAUCAAACAGGAUUAGAUACCCUGGUAGUCCACACAGU